RNAcentral lists this long non-coding RNA (252 nucleotides) under Phasianus colchicus (ring-necked pheasant). RNAcentral's name for it is "lncRNA (ENSPCLG00000018956.1)". The record is from RNAcentral. Lineage: Eukaryota; Metazoa; Chordata; Aves; Galliformes; Phasianidae.
UGCACUGAAAUUUUAGCCCUGUCUCCAAUUGAAGCACGAAAGAUAUGAGUUAAGAUAGAACACAUGAUUUUAACUGUGGAGCAUCACCUCAGGAAGAAGAAUCAAUGAGUGUACCUCCUUGGGAGGUAAAGUGCCAGUCAUUUAAGGAGAGAACACAGGAUUUUCCUGAUGCCUAGUGUACUUCACAGGAGUUUGCAGGUUUGCACUGAAAAAGCAAUCAAGAGUCUCAGGACACUUUACAGACAGAGAUAA